GGACCCCACUGCUAUCGGGAUGGGACUAAGACAUGCUAGUCGUGCGCUUCCAAGCCACGGUGGAGGCGCGGCGCACAGCUCAGUAACACGUGGCUAAACCUACCCUUGGGACAGGGACAACUCCGGGAAACUGGAGCUAAUCCCUGAUAGGUGAAGACUCCUGGAAUGGGUCUUCGCCCAAAAGGCGUCUAAACCAUGCUUUUAGGCGCCGCCCAAGGAUGGGCCGCGGCCGAUCAGGUUGUUGGUGAGGUAACGGCUCACCAAGCCUAUAACCGGUACGGGCCGUGGGAGCGGGAGCCCGGAGAUGGGCACUGGGACAAGGGCCCAGGCCCUACGGGGCGCAGCAGGCGCGAUG
This 355-nucleotide ribosomal RNA is filed under the name uncultured archaeon. RNAcentral's name for it is "bacterial SSU rRNA". It matches the Rfam family "Archaeal small subunit ribosomal RNA", at positions 19 to 346 of the family's 1478-position model. The record is from RNAcentral.